GGGUUCCCCUAGUAACGGCGAGUGAAGCGGGAUGAGCUCAAGCUUAAAAUCUCUGUCACAAAUUUAUUUUGUGCGGCGAAUUGUAGUCUAUAGAAGCGUGGUCAGUGUAGGCGCUUGGGUUAAGUUCCUUGAAAAAGGACAGCAUCGAGGGUGAUACUCCCGUUUGUACCUAAGUGUCUUAUGCGUACGACCCGUUUUCUUUGAGUCGCGUUGUUUGAGAAUGCAGCGCAAAGUAGGUGGUAAAUUCCAUCUAAAGCUAAAUAUUGGUGCGAGACCGAUAGCGAACAAGUACCGUGAGGGAAAGAUGAAAAGAACUUUGAAAAGAGAGUUAAAGAGUACCUGAAACUGCUGAAAGGGAACCGGAUCGUUUCUAGUGUCUAUAAUCCGUGACAUAUUUCAUUGGCGGGCGUGUGCGUAUGUGUACUAUGGCAGCGGCUAAUUGGCUGCGCUUGGUGUGCGUGCUGUGUGUGCUUACUGGUGCCCUGUGUUAUGGUGGGACGUCAAGGUCAGUUCGUAUGCUGCGGGAAAUGGCUGCUGAGGAGGUAGGGCUUACGCUUGCGUUUGUCUGUUAUAUCUUGGUGGUUUUGUCGUGGUUGGGACUGAGGUGUUCUACAACGUGCUCUUGAGUAGGUCUGCGUCUCCGUGUGCACCGUGUGCAGAUAGCUUGCUAUGUGUGUGUGGUUGUGUGUGGAUUGAUGCGGGCUUGAACUUGUUGCCGUUCGGGACUUUGACGAAAUAGAGCGAUUUGACCCGUCUUGAAACACGGACCAAGGAGUCUAACAUAUGUGCAAGUGUUAGGGUGUGGAAACCCCAGCGCGAAAUUAACGUAAAGGAUAGCGUAAGCUGUCUUAGGUAGGAAACGUUGCGGAUUUCGGUCUGUGGCGUGGCACUAUCGACCGAUCAUGAACCUUCGUGGUGAAAGAUUUGAGUUUGAGCACAUAUGUUGGUACCCGAAAGAUGGUGAACUAUGCCUGAGUAGGGUGAAGCCAG
This 990-nucleotide ribosomal RNA is filed under the name Hyaloperonospora parasitica. Its description in RNAcentral is "LSU rRNA". It matches the Rfam family "Eukaryotic large subunit ribosomal RNA", at positions 72 to 855 of the family's 3401-position model. Lineage: Eukaryota; Oomycota; Peronosporomycetes; Peronosporales; Peronosporaceae. The record is from RNAcentral.